RNAcentral lists this ribosomal RNA (403 nucleotides) under uncultured bacterium. RNAcentral describes it as "bacterial SSU rRNA". It matches the Rfam family "Bacterial small subunit ribosomal RNA", at positions 356 to 775 of the family's 1533-position model. The record is from RNAcentral.
GAGGAAUAUUGCCCAAUGGACGCAAGUCUGAGGCAGCAACGCCGCGUGCGCGAUGAAGGCCUUCGGGUUGUAAAGCGCUUUUCUGGGGGAAGAGGAAGGACGGUACCUCAGGAAUAAGUCACGGCUAACUACGUGCCAGCAGCCGCGGUAAUACGUAGGUGGCCAGCGUUAUCCGGAUUUACUGGGCGUAAAGCGCGUGCAGGCGGUUUCGUAAGUCGGACGUGAAAGCUCCUGGCUUAACUGGGAGAGCGCAUUCGAUACUGCGAGGCUUGAGGUCGGGAGAGGGACGUGGAAUUCCCGGUGUAGUGGUGAAAUGCGUAGAUAUCGGGAGGAACACCAGUGGCGAAGGCGGCGUCCUGGCCCGCACCUGACGCUGAGACGCGAAAGCGUGGGUAGCGAACGG